Molecule: ribosomal RNA, 506 nt
Filed under: uncultured bacterium
Lineage: Bacteria
Description: partial 16S ribosomal RNA
Rfam family: Bacterial small subunit ribosomal RNA
Source: RNAcentral
AUUGAACGCUAGCUACAGGCUUAACACAUGCAAGUCGAGGGGUAACGAGAGGAAAGCUUGCUUUCCUUGUCGACGACCGGCGCACGGGUGAGUAACGCGUAUCCAACCUGCCCCCAACUAGGGAAUAACCUUGCGAAAGUAAGACUAAUACCCUAUAAUUUCCUCAGAUGACAUCUGACGAGGAAUAAAGAUUUAUCGGUUGUGGAUGGGGAUGCGUCUGAUUAGCUUGUUGGCGGGGUAACGGCCCACCAAGGCAACGAUCAGUAGGGGUUCUGAGAGGAAGGUCCCCCACAUUGGAACUGAGACACGGUCCAAACUCCUACGGGAGGCAGCAGUGAGGAAUAUUGGUCAAUGGGCGGAAGCCUGAACCAGCCAAGUAGCGUGCAGGAUGACGGCCCUAUGGGUUGUAAACUGCUUUUAUACAGGAAUAAAGUUAGCCACGUGUGGUUAUUUGUAGGUACUGUAUGAAUAAGGACCGGCUAAUUCCGUGCCAGCCGCCGCCGUAA